This is a small nuclear RNA of Echinops telfairi (small Madagascar hedgehog), 105 nucleotides long. NCBI's taxonomy places the organism in Eukaryota, Metazoa, Chordata, Mammalia, Afrosoricida, Tenrecidae. The record is from Ensembl.
GUGCUUUCUUCAGCAGCACAAAUCCUAAAAUUGGAACGCUGCAGAGAUUAGCAUGGUCCCAUGAGCAAGUAUGACAUGCAAAUUCAUGAAGCAUUCCAUAUUUUU